RNAcentral lists this ribosomal RNA (414 nucleotides) under uncultured bacterium. Its description in RNAcentral is "bacterial SSU rRNA". It matches the Rfam family "Bacterial small subunit ribosomal RNA", at positions 40 to 500 of the family's 1533-position model. The record is from RNAcentral.
CGGCACGCCUAACACAUGCAAGUCGAACGCAGUAGCAAUACUGAGUGGCAAACGGGUGAGUAUAAUGUGGGAAUCUGCCUUUUGGUUUGGAAUAACACGGGGAAACUUGUGCUAAUACCGAAUAAGCCCUUACGGGGAAAGUUUUAAUGCCGAAAGAUGAGCCCGCACUUGAUUAGCUAGUUGGUAAGGUAAAAGCUUACCAAGGCAAUGAUCAAUAGCUGUUCUUAGAGGAAGACCAGCCACAUUGGGACUGAGACACGGCCCAGACUCCUACGGGAGGCAGCAGUGGGGAAUCUUGCACAAUGGGGGAAACCCUGAUGCAGCGAUGCCGCGUGAGUGAAGAAAGCCCUUGGGUUGUAAAACUCUUUCGUCGGGGAAGAAAAUGACUGUACCCGAAUAAGAAGGUCCGGCUAA